RNAcentral lists this ribosomal RNA (292 nucleotides) under uncultured Polynucleobacter sp. RNAcentral describes it as "partial 16S ribosomal RNA". It matches the Rfam family "Bacterial small subunit ribosomal RNA", at positions 505 to 796 of the family's 1533-position model. Lineage: Bacteria; Pseudomonadati; Pseudomonadota; Betaproteobacteria; Burkholderiales; Burkholderiaceae. The record is from RNAcentral.
GUGUCAGCCGCCGCGGUAAUACGUAGGGUGCAAGCGUUAAUCGGAAUUACUGGGCGUAAAGCGUGCGUAGGCGGUUAUACAAGACAGGCGUGAAAUCCCCGGGCUUAACCUGGGAAUGGCGCCUGUGACUGUAUAGCUAGAGUGUGUCAGAGGGGGGUAGAAUUCCACGUGUAGCAGUGAAAUGCGUAGAGAUGUGGAGGAAUACCGAUGGCGAAGGCAGCCCCCUGGGAUAACACUGACGCUCAUGCACGAAAGCGUGGGGAGCAAACAGGAUUAGAAACCCCAGUAGUCC